GACUCAGUAGUCUGAUGGUAAGUUAUUUGACCUGGGACCAGAAGGUCCCGGGUUCGACCCGCGAUGGAGUUG
RNAcentral lists this transfer RNA (72 nucleotides) under Schistosoma japonicum. Its description in RNAcentral is "tRNA-Pro". The record is from RNAcentral. Lineage: Eukaryota; Metazoa; Platyhelminthes; Trematoda; Strigeidida; Schistosomatidae.